This 827-nucleotide ribosomal RNA is filed under the name uncultured microorganism. RNAcentral's name for it is "bacterial SSU rRNA". It matches the Rfam family "Bacterial small subunit ribosomal RNA", at positions 8 to 825 of the family's 1533-position model. The record is from RNAcentral.
AGAGUUUGAUCMUGGCUCAGAUUGAACGCUGGCGGCAGGCUUAACACAUGCAAGUCGAGCGGAUGARAGUAGCUUGCUACCGGAUUCAGCGGCGGACGGGUGAGUAAUGCUUAGGAAUCUGCCUAUUAGUGGGGGACAACAUCUCGAAAGGGAUGCUAAUACCGCAUACGUCCUACGGGAGAAAGCAGGGGAUCUUCGGACCUUGCGCUAAUAGAUGAGCCUAAGUCGGAUUAGCUAGUUGGUGGGGUAAAGGCCUACCAAGGCGACGAUCUGUAGCGGGUCUGAGAGGAUGAUCCGCCACACUGGGACUGAGACACGGCCCAGACUCCUACGGGAGGCAGCAGUGGGGAAUAUUGGACAAUGGGGGGAACCCUGAUCCAGCCAUGCCGCGUGUGUGAAGAAGGCCUUUUGGUUGUAAAGCACUUUAAGCGAGGAGGAGGAGCUCUUGGUUAAUACCCAAGAUGCUUGGACGUUACUCGCAGAAUAAGCACCGGCUAACUCUGUGCCAGCAGCCGCGGUAAUACAGAGGGUGCAAGCGUUAAUCGGAUUUACUGGGCGUAAAGCGCGCGUAGGUGGCCAAUUAAGUCAAAUGUGAAAUCCCCGAGCUUAACUUGGGAAUUGCAUUCGAUACUGGUUGGCUAGAGUAUGGGAGAGGAUGGUAGAAUUCCAGGUGUAGCGGUGAAAUGCGUAGAGAUCUGGAGGAAUACCGAUGGCGAAGGCAGCCAUCUGGCCUAAUACUGACRCUGAGGUGCGAAAGCAUGGGGAGCAAACAGGAUUAGAUACCCUGGUAGUCCAGGGCGAUUCGUUAACCUGCAGACUAGUCCUUU